Molecule: ribosomal RNA, 464 nt
Filed under: uncultured bacterium
Lineage: Bacteria
Description: bacterial SSU rRNA
Rfam family: Bacterial small subunit ribosomal RNA
Source: RNAcentral
UCCAGACUCCUACGGGAGGCAGCAGUGAGGAAUAUUGGUCAAUGGGCGGGAGCCUGAACCAGCCAAGUCGCGUGAGGGACGACGGUCCUAUGGAUUGUAAACCUCUUUUGUCGGGGAACAAAGGCGCCCACGGGUGGGCGGAUGAGUGUACCCGAAGAAAAAGCAUCGGCUAACUCCGUGCCAGCAGCCGCGGUAAUAUGGAGGAUGCGAGCGUUAUCCGGAUUUAUUGGGUUUAAAGGGUGCGUAGGCGGGAUGCCAAGUCAGCGGUAAAAAUGCGGUGCUCAACGCCGUCGAGCCGUUGAAACUGGCGUUCUUGAGUGGGCGAGAAGUAUGCGGAAUGCGUGGUGUAGCGGUGAAAUGCAUAGAUAUCACGCAGAACUCCGAUUGCGAAGGCAGCAUACCGGCGCCCUACUGGCGCUGAGGCACGAAAGCGUGGGUAUCGAACAGGAUUAGAUACCCCAGUA